RNAcentral lists this ribosomal RNA (500 nucleotides) under uncultured bacterium. RNAcentral's name for it is "partial 16S ribosomal RNA". It matches the Rfam family "Bacterial small subunit ribosomal RNA", at positions 30 to 523 of the family's 1533-position model. The record is from RNAcentral.
AUUGAACGCUGGCGGCAUGCCUUACACAUGCAAGUCGAACGGCAGCACGGGAGCAAUCCUGGUGGCGAGUGGCGAACGGGUGAGUAAAGUAUCGGAACGUGCCCAGUCGUGGGGGAUAACGUAGCGAAAGUUACGCUAAUACCGCAUACGAUCUAUGGAUGAAAGCGGGGGAUCGCAAGACCUCGCGCGAUUGGAGCGGCCGAUAUCAGAUUAGGUAGUUGGUGGGGUAAAGGCUCACCAAGCCGACGAUCUGUAGCUGGUCUGAGGGGACGACCAGCCACACUGGGACUGAGACACGGCCCAGACUCCUACGGGAGGCAGCAGUGGGGAAUUUUGGACAAUGGGCGAAAGCCUGAUCCAGCCAUGCCGCGUGCAGGAUGAAGGCCUUCGGGUUGUAAACUGCUUUUGUACGGAACGAAGAGGUUUGGCCUAAUAAGCUGAGCUCAUGACGGUACCGUAAGAAUAAGCACCGGCUAACUACGUGCCAGCAGCCGCCGUAA